CACUCCAUUGAUGGUAAACAUAAUGCUCCGGAACGGCUAAGUACAGUCUAUGAUAAUACCAACAUAUUUUGCGAAGUAAUAUAUUUUCGUUUACUAUGGAAUAAUAUCAUAUACAAAAAGAGAAUAAGUCAAGAGAAAAUAACAUAAAAGUAUACAUUAAACUAGGGCUUAGAAAAAUAUCAAAAUCGGAAAAUCCAACUUAAUAUCGAAGAUAUAAAAUAUAAUAUUCAAAAUAGCUAAAAUACUCAAAAAAUACUUAGAGCUGUCAAAAAUGCCUGAAAGUAUUUAAAAACUGUCAAAAGUAAAUACUUAAAAUAUUAAAAAAAAAGAAGACUCAAAACAAUAAAUAUUUAGUGGUUUUUCCACUCUAAUAUCAAACGAACCAAAUUUCAUGAUAAUUUUAUGUAUUUAGUUAUACAUAAUUAUAACAUAUAAGAAUAUUACUUUUAUUUUGGGAUUUGAAGAUUUUAAAAUAUAUUUGGGUUUCAAUAAAAUAAAAUAAAAUAAACGGGUAGCAACCGAACCCGAACCAAAACUAAUAAAUAUCCAAAUAAAACUUAAAUCUCUAUAUCUUAAAACCCAAAAUCUGAAUAGCCAUAAAAUUAAACUCGAUCUAAUAUGAUGUCCACUCAUGCAUUAAAUUACAAUUAAAAUAAACUAGAAGUAUAACUCACAUUGCUUAUCUGCUCUUAAAAAUAAUUCUACAACAGAAUUCUUAUAGUGACGACCAUUAAGAUAUCUCUAACAACAUUAUAAUUAAAAAAAAAGAGCUUGAUUGUAAAAAAUAUGAAAACAAAUACGAACUAUAAUUUUUAAGUAAUAUAAAAACAAUUGUAAAAAAUGUAAAAAUAAUUACAAAAAUGUAUAAAUAACUCUAAAACUACAACAUAUUUUAUAAAAAAUGCGCACACCGACCCCUACCUUAAUAUACAAUUUAGUAAACACAGAUUACAAAUAGAUAUGCAAGACUUAUUAUAAACACUACAAGUAUUGAUCAUAACUAUAUAAAUGAUCUUUUAGAAAUAUGUAAAACUAAGAUAAAAUUAUACUUGAAUUGUACACAAAUUUUUUUAUAUAAUCAGAAGAGUUAAUCUUUUAAGCUAAAGAAUUAAAAUAUUAUCUUCACAUCAAAUUUUCAAAGAAACCGGCUAAAUUUAAUAAGAUUAUUAAAAUAUUAAAAAUAAACUAUAGAAUAAACUAACAUAUAACUUCUACACACCAACAUUCUUGAAAACCUUAAAUUUUAUAAUACAUUUCUCUUGCAAAAAACCCAUAGACCAUGUUCUAAAAUAAGAUACAAUUCUAUAGCUUCAUACAUCACAUAUAAAUCAUACCUCCGCGCGUAGCGCGGAUCGGCCCUAGUAUCAUAAAUAGGACACAUCAAUAAAAACAAAAAUAUGAUAGAGAAAAUUCACUGACUAAAAAUUCCUUUUGAUAUUAACGUCCCAAUAUUUUUUUUUAAAUUCUUUGAAAUAAUUAUUUGUUAACUCUUUUGUAAAAUCAUCACAAGGUAUGAUUUUGGUUGUUCUAUAAAAAAUUAUCUUUAAAAGCAGUGGAGUCGUCAGGAGAAAUCAGCAUCCAGCUAAGAAAUUCGAGUUUUGUGGGCGUGACACGUGUCGAGGUAAGGAAAAUGCGCCGUUUCAUUAACUGCAAUUGAUACGAGCUUUUAUGAAUGUGUUUGGGCCUCAAGUGUGGAUGAAGAAACCAGUCAACCAGCCCAAUAGAAAUCAACUUUAACGUUUAGGUUUAAGCGUCACCUUCCAUCCGACGUCGUACGAAUCCUUCUCAAUCAAGAACCAUAUAGCCAUUAAUGGAGUUUCAGGAAGAUGUUCGAGAUGUAUCUUCCUGAUGAAUCUUUGGAUCAAUUUUUUUUAUUAGUUUCUGGAUCUAGCUUUGUUCGCGUCCGUUCAUCUAAGAUUCUUCUCCUCUAAAACGUUAUGGAUACAUCAAUUCAUCGCCAUUAAGAAGCAUUUACUCCUUUGGACUACCACAUUCAAACAUUCAAUGCUUUGUAUUCCUCUUCCAGGCGGUGUUUAUAUACUUAAUCUUCUAAACAUCUCGCAAAGACGUUUCGACAUGCCCGUGACUAUUGAAUACAGUAUCACUUUCAAUAUAGAAGCUGUUUAAUGGCUAAAUCAUCGAUUCUUCUUGCAUAUUCUGAGACUGGAAGCUGUUCUUCCACCGUCAAGGAAUCCAUGACCAUAGCUAUAUCGGUUCACAUGAUCCAGCAAGACCCAAACUGUUCAUAUUCAUUGGUACAUCCAAUUCCUUCCUACAAAGGAAGGAGCAAGGAAGACAAUAAGACGACAGUAAACCAAAAUCGAGACUACUGUAUGUUUAGAUAAGCACUGGAUAUUGAAGAAGAAGCAUGAUAUGGAGGACUCCGGAAUGCAUGAAACCAUCUGUACUUUCUUACGGAUUUUGCUUUCUUUUUCCUCUCAUCUGUAGUCCAGAAGGUGUGGAGAGUUGAUGGGCGUGAAUCUGAUAAUGGUUGAUCAAAAGCCGCAGUCAACAAAGCAACAUAGCUUCUGUUCAGGCUCCGAGACACUGAAACCGCCGUCAUGUAUCCUAUGGCAUUCACAACCCUUCUGUAUUCAGAUCCAUGAUCAAUUUGAUGGGUAUUUCCAGGUGGUGGUGAUGACGGUGGCAGAGGAGGGGUUGCAGUGGUGGUGCUCAUGAAGAGCAUAUCGGGCAUGGAGAAUCAGAAGAUGGCGAGGGACCGGAGAAGAUGUGGAAUGGUUCGUCGACCAGUGACAUGGAACAGAUGGAUCUGGGACUAUUCUAAUGAUCACCACUAUUCUAUUUAACUGGGAUUGCUUUCAUACGUAAGUUGUUGUUUAUCAUAGUUUUAAGAAUAUUUGUCUGUGUUUAAGAUUUAAGAUUACACUUUUUGGUUUUAACCUUAUCACAAACUCAGUCCAAAACAUGGAGAAUUCUUUUUUACCAAAU
Brassica napus (rape) is the source of this 2949-nucleotide long non-coding RNA. RefSeq lists it as uncharacterized. The transcript has 6 exons. The record is from RefSeq and is a predicted model, not a curated record. NCBI's taxonomy places the organism in Eukaryota, Viridiplantae, Streptophyta, Magnoliopsida, Brassicales, Brassicaceae.